UUCAAAGCCAAGGCGGCGGGUAAAUUCCGUUAGGGGAGCCCAGGCGGUUUUUCCCGGAUUUUAUCUGGGGGUUUAAAAGGGUGCGUAAAGGGCCGGCUUUGCACAAGUUCAGAUUUUGAAAUUCUUUGGGGCUCAACCCCAUUAGCCUGCAUUUGAAAAUGGCAGAAGUUUGAGUGAAGUAGAGGCAGGCGGAAUUCCCCGUGUAGCGGUGAAAAGCGUAGAGAUGGGGAGGAACACCAGGGGCGAAGGCGGCCUGCUGGGCUUUAACUGACGCUGAGGCACGAAAGCGUGGGUAGCAAACAGGAUUAGAUACCCUGGUAGUCCACGCUGUAAACGAUGAUUACUAGGUGUGGGGGGUCUGACCCCUUCCGUGCCGGAGUUAACACAAUAAGUAAUCCACCUGGGGAGUACGGCCGCAAGGUUGAAACUCAAAGGAAUUGACGGGGGCCCGCACAAGCAGUGGAGUAUGUGGUUUAAUUCGAAGCAACGCGAAGAACCUUACCAGGUCUUGACAUCCUACUAACGAGAUAGAGAUAUGUUAGGUGCCCUUCGGGGAAAGUAGAGACAGGUGGUGCAUGGUUGUCGUCAGCUCGUGUCGUGAGAUGUUGGGUUAAGUCCCGCAACGAGCGCAACCCUUGCUAUUAGUUGCUACGCAAGAGCACUCUAAUAGGACUGCCGUUGACAAAACGGAGGAAGGUGGGGACGACGUCAAAUCAUCAUGCCCCUUAUGACCUGGGCUACACACGUACUACAAUGGACAUUAACAGAGGGAAGCAAUACAGUGAUGUGGAGCAAACCCCUAAAAAUGUUCUCAGUUCAGAUUGCAGGCUGCAACCCGCCUGUAUGAAGAUGGAAUUGCUAGUAAUCGCAGAUCAGCAUGUUGCGGUGAAUACGUUCCCGGGCCUUGUACACACCGCCCGUCACACCAUGGGAGCCGGUAAUACCCGAAGUCAGUAGUCUAACCGCAAGGAGGACGCUGCCGAAGGUAGGAUUGGCGACUGGGGUGAAAAGGUAACAAGGUAGCCGUAAGGGCGAAUUCGUCUCUCUAUCGAGGACUAG
Molecule: ribosomal RNA, 1059 nt
Filed under: uncultured bacterium
Lineage: Bacteria
Description: bacterial SSU rRNA
Rfam family: Bacterial small subunit ribosomal RNA
Source: RNAcentral